Molecule: long non-coding RNA, 324 nt
Organism: Eupeodes corollae
Lineage: Eukaryota; Metazoa; Arthropoda; Insecta; Diptera; Syrphidae
Exons: 2
Source: RefSeq, a predicted model, not a curated record
UUUUUAAGGAAAAACGAAAAACCACACUUUCAAAUCGUUGUGGUGUGCGGAAGGAGCAAGGGUAGCGUUGGAAUUGGUAAAUGGAAAAUUAUGUAAACAGUUUUAUGCGAAAAAUUAAUGUUUAAUAAUAUUUUGGGAGGAAUGACAGAAGAAAAAUGAGUGUGUGUGAAAGAAACGAAAAACUGUGAUGGACUAUUCUUUUGUGUUCUUUCUUGUGGUUGUGAUUCUGAUGUUGGGUGCAAAAUAAUAAGAAUGUUGGUGGGAAGAGGAAGAUGGGAAAAAUUAGUUUGUAUUGUUGUUUUGUUGCAAAAUGUUGUUUGUGUG